This 253-nucleotide ribosomal RNA is filed under the name uncultured bacterium. RNAcentral describes it as "partial 16S ribosomal RNA". It matches the Rfam family "Bacterial small subunit ribosomal RNA", at positions 524 to 776 of the family's 1533-position model. The record is from RNAcentral.
UACGAACUGCGCGAACGUUAUUCGGAAUCACUGGGCUUACAGGGUGCGUAGGCGGCUUUUCAGGUCCGAUGUGAAAUCCCACAGCUCAACUGUGGAAUGGCGUUGGAAACCGAAAGGCUUGAGUGAGCUAGAGAUGUACGGAACUUCCGGUGGAGCGGUGAAAUGUGUUGAGAUCGGAAGGAACACCAGAGGCGAAAGCGGUACAUUGGGGCUUGUCUGACGCUGAGGCACGAAAGCCAGGGGAGCGAACGGG